GCUCGGGUCGCUUAGCUUGGUAUAGCGCCAGCCUGGAAAGCUGGUUUCCUUCGGGAUGCGUGUGUUCGAAUCACACCCCGAGCGCCA
Molecule: transfer RNA, 87 nt
Filed under: Nanobdellota archaeon
Lineage: Archaea; Nanobdellati; Nanobdellota
Description: tRNA-Ser
Rfam family: tRNA
About the family: Transfer RNA (tRNA) molecules are approximately 80 nucleotides in length.
Source: RNAcentral